Molecule: ribosomal RNA, 177 nt
Filed under: uncultured bacterium
Lineage: Bacteria
Description: partial 16S ribosomal RNA
Rfam family: Bacterial small subunit ribosomal RNA
Source: RNAcentral
CCUACGGGAGGCAGCAGUGGGGAAUUUUGGACAAUGGGGGCAACCCUGAUCCAGCAAUGCCGCGUGUGUGAAGAAGGCCUUCGGGUCGUAAAGCACUUUUGUCCGGAAAGAAAUCCCCUGGGAUAUUACCUCGGGGGGAUGACGGUACCGGAAGAAUAAGCACCGGCUAACUACGUG